RNAcentral lists this ribosomal RNA (253 nucleotides) under uncultured bacterium. RNAcentral describes it as "partial 16S ribosomal RNA". It matches the Rfam family "Bacterial small subunit ribosomal RNA", at positions 524 to 776 of the family's 1533-position model. The record is from RNAcentral.
UACGUAGGGUGCAAGCGUUGUCCGGAAUUAUUGGGCGUAAAGAGCUCGUAGGCGGUUUGUCGCGUCGAAUGUGAAAACCCGGGGCUCAACCCCGGGCCUGCAUUCGAUACGGGCAGACUAGAGUUCGGUAGGGGAGUCUGGAAUUCCUGGUGUAGCGGUGAAAUGCGUAGAUAUCUGGAGGAAUACCGGUGGCGAAGGCGGCAUCCUGGACCGACAUUGACGCUGAGGAGCGAAAGCUAGGGGAGCAAACGGG